Molecule: transfer RNA, 71 nt
Filed under: Nanobdellota archaeon
Lineage: Archaea; Nanobdellati; Nanobdellota
Description: tRNA-Gly
Rfam family: tRNA
About the family: Transfer RNA (tRNA) molecules are approximately 80 nucleotides in length. Their secondary structure includes four short double-helical elements and three loops (D, anti-codon, and T loops).
Source: RNAcentral
GCGCUGGUGGUCUAACGGUAUGACAUUUGCCUUCCAAGCAAAUUGCCCGGGUUCGACUCCCGGCCGGCGCA